This 250-nucleotide long non-coding RNA is filed under the name Struthio camelus australis. Its description in RNAcentral is "lncRNA (ENSSCUG00000009388.1)". The record is from RNAcentral. Lineage: Eukaryota; Metazoa; Chordata; Aves; Struthioniformes; Struthionidae.
CAUUUUUGAGGCGCGAUGAGGAAACAUUACAGCAGCUUUGGAAUGAAGCUAAAGAGAGGAUUCGUUUAUAUGAUGCAUUGAACAACAUACCAGAGUAUUGAAACGUAAGAGAAAAGGAAGCCUUCCUCUAAUAUAUGGAUAUUGAGUGAACGUUAUGAAAUGGCAUUGGACUCCACUGGAAAGGAUCUUCCUGCUACCGUGGGAACAGUUUCCUCUCCCCCGUGAAGUCUUCCAACAGAAUUUAGAGCAA